This 342-nucleotide long non-coding RNA is filed under the name Zonotrichia albicollis (white-throated sparrow). Its description in RNAcentral is "lncRNA (ENSZALG00000008468.1)". The record is from RNAcentral. Lineage: Eukaryota; Metazoa; Chordata; Aves; Passeriformes; Passerellidae.
UGAAACACCCCAGAAAAGUGUUUGUCUCCUGAACGUGUGUGAAGGAAUGGACCAGGAGAGGGGAUGCAACAGAAGUCAUAAUCAGCUUUGACUUGGAAAAAAACUAUGAAAAUAAUCAUCUUGCCUCUUGGCUUUCAGCAAUAUCUUCUGCCCUGGAUAUUUGCUCCCCUCCCCAGCUGGAAGAAUAUCCCACUGCUCAGUGACAAUUUGUACGUGUACAAAUCAUUGACCAAAUACCAAGUCAGGUGUACUUGGCCACUCUUUAAGAAACAAAAUGCCUGGGACUGUCAGAUAAGAAGUCCACAUGGCAGCUUUCCAAUUGUAUUUAUCCACUCCAACUAA